GUUAUUUGACUGGAGUGAGGUCUCAUGUCUGCUUAUGCGGUGGCUCGCUGCUCAGAACAGGGUGAGUCUCUGGGUUGUGUGCUGAGGAGGGGAGGCUCUCAAUCUGGAGAAAACCCACUGCAGGGGACACCUCCAUGGGGUCUGAGGGACUGAGGAUGAGGAGCCGGACUGGGUCUAGGGAAGGAGGAGGUUUCAGAGGGUGAAAUUCUGGCACUAAAGCCUGGGGGUGUUUGGGAACUUCCUCCUUCCGAAGAAGUUUCAGGGAGGGAUAAAGACAAACCCUGGGCUCCUUGAGGGGCCCUUACUAAUUUGAGAGGACUCUAUCGGGAAGGAGAGUGACAAUGGCCUCCUUGAGGACUGAGGCCCCUGAAUAAAUGAGGCCCAGAUACAGUCCAUGGGGGAUGAGACCUUCAAGGGUCACAUUUUGGUUGGGACAGAGGAAAAGUGCAGCUCUGCAGCCGCAGAGGAAAACCCGGCAGUGUGAAAGCGACCUUGGAGGGGCCCUGUGCGCUCUGAAUGCGUCUGAGCCCCCAUCCCCUGUCCCCGCCUCUCUUUCUGGAUUCUUCCAGCUCGGCUGUCUCCGCCAUCUUCUGAGCGCUCCACCCUGACUUAUUCAAGUUUCCCUUCUGCCUUCCAAGUACUCCAAAAUCUUUCAGAUCUGUGUCCCUACCCCUGUUUUUAGCAUGUGUUGGGGCUCCAGGUCCCUGAAGGUUUCUGGCCUGAAAUCCACCUCCCCAGCGGAGUGGACUGCGUUCUAGAGACUCCACACUCCGCGAGGUUCCCAGGCCCCUGAGGGACAACCGAGUGGCCUGCGCACUUCAGGGCUCCACACUCGGCAAGGUCUUUCAAGCCCUUGGGGUCCCCUUCUUAGUUUUUUCCACCUUUCUGGGCUGCAGUCACUCCAUAAAUGCUGGGAUCUGAUCCCCACCCCCACUCUCGUUUCCUCAAUUCUGCGGGCUACACGCUCUGGCAAGGUCCUCCGGGCCCUGGAUCCCCUCCCUCUCCCUAUGCCCACGCUCCUAGUCAGCCCUUCUGGGGUCCACUAUUUUCAGGAACUAACCAUUCUCAUGGAGCCUUGCUAACCGGAAAGCUGUGUGGAAGAAAGGCUUUGAGGAUAGAGGUGGAGAUUUGGCUCUUCCAUAGUGCCACUCACCCACCCCACCAUGCUGCCACUGCCAGACCCGGACCCCUGUUUCAGAACAAGUGACCAGAUUCGCUCCUGGACAGCCCUGGACACUGGCCUUUUCUCUGAAAACUACUCACCCUUUCUCUAGUCCCCACUUCAUGCCAGCCUCAUACCCUCUUCCUUCCCCCACGCUGGCUUCCGGGAUCCUCCUCUGCUCAGACAACCUCUUCUGUGUCCCACCCCCGUUUUUAGAAUGCUUUGGGGCACCAGGUUGGGGGAAGGUUUCUGGCCUGAUAUCCAUCUCUUUCCAAACUCCCUUCUUCCCUUGAAAGGCUUCUUGCCUUCAGCCCCACUUCUGGCUCCGAGGUUUCAGGACACCCUCCUCUUCAUCCUCAUUCUUUUGACCACCAGCUUUUUAGGAAUUCGAACGUCCCUCUCAUCUUCGUGAAUCCUGUCCAGGCAUUUGUUGACCCCUUCAUCUGAUACCCCUGACCUCACAUUGCCAAAAGUCUACCCCUACCCAGUACACUGGAAUUAGACAAAAUCCCAGGAGUUUUACCUCAACUCUGAGUGUGCCCACAGGAGCUCUCCCUGAAGCCACGUCCUUUUAAGCAGGGUCUAGGGUUCCUCCCUUGUCUUAAUGAACUCUUUGUCACACGGAGGACGUUAUGGAGCCCUUAUGAUCUUUCACUGCCUUUCUGCCCAGCGUUUUGUCUUUCCAUGGACAUUUAUAAUAUUUUCCAUGGACAUUUUGUUCUCUCAAUGUCCACCCCUAAUUUCCAACAUCCCAAAGAUUCUCAUGUGUUUCCUGAAAGCCAUUUACAGGAAUGGCUGUGCCCAGACCCCCUUCCCCAGGAUCCUCCUUCACACCUGGUAGGUGCCUCUCCUAGAGAGAUUUGCACUCAGUUGUCGUGCAGUCACAUGGCCCAGAUGGUUGUUAAUCACCCCCUUCCUGGCAACAGCUAGCAGCCAGGGAAUCACUGGCACAGAAACCUCAGGGUGACCAAGAUGAGGCCACCUCUGUGCUGAAGGCUGUGCUCCAGAGCCUGCUUGGGAUCAGGCUUAAGCAGGUCUUCAGCCAGACCUGAUGUUACCUGGUUUCCUUGAGCUGCCCUGCCUGAGCUAUCGGGAGCACUCCCUCAAUGCACAUCUUGAUUCCC
Molecule: long non-coding RNA, 2286 nt
Filed under: Homo sapiens (human)
Lineage: Eukaryota; Metazoa; Chordata; Mammalia; Primates; Hominidae
Description: non-protein coding PCAT19:21
Source: RNAcentral